RNAcentral lists this long non-coding RNA (12244 nucleotides) under Nicotiana tabacum (common tobacco). Its description in RNAcentral is "long non-coding RNA (NTAB_LNC004346)". The record is from RNAcentral. Lineage: Eukaryota; Viridiplantae; Streptophyta; Magnoliopsida; Solanales; Solanaceae.
CCAAAAAACCCCUCGCUUCGUCUCUCUAAAAAAUUCCCAUACACUCUCUGAAACUCCGCCCUAAACCGCCGCCGGGAAUCGCCUCAAGGCGGCGAAACUUCUCCAAAUGAACCCAAAUUUUCACCAGUUAACCCCCGCUGCCUCCUCUAUCCAAAUCCCCAAAUCAAUUCCCUCGAAUUACUCUCAAAAGCCUCGAAUUUCAAAUCUGAGUUUCAACCUAGAAACCCUAGUUUACCCAAAUCACCCCAAAAUCAUACCCCAUAGUCCUCACACCCCUCUGAACCCUAAACCACAACCAAUUCCCCAAAAACCCUAGCCAAUUUCUUCGAAUUUCCAAUCUGAGCUCUUGUGCCCUUCUUCUUUUAGUCAGAGUUAUGGCAUUUGAACCCCAAACUUUCAUUAGCCGACUGUUCUUGUUGAGAACAGUAAUGUCAGUUCAAUGUUCAUAUUACCCAUUUGCUUCAAAGUUUGGUCAAGACUUGUUUUGUUUGGCUUUGUUUGGUCCGUAUGGAAACAAGUUUGGUAACUCUUUUUGCCUAUCUUUUCUCUUUUCCUUCUCUGAGAAUCCCUUUUCAUUUCCUUUCUUUUAUGUUUAGUAGCAUGUUUUAGGUUUUUUUUUCUUUUCAGAAUCUUCUGUUUGUUUUUCUUUGCAUCCAGUAAUUAGUUUAGUCAAAAGCAUAUGAAAAUUUCAUUGUAUAAGGAUUGUUUGUAAUUGCAUAAAUUUAGUUUAAUCCUUAGGGUCGAUACAUGAAAUGAGCUUGCCUGUUUCUCCAUUUUUUCCUCUUGGGUUCAGUAUUGGUUUAGGAGCAUUUUUAGCCUAUCUUUGCAGCCCUAUGUUAAUUUCGUUUGAUUACUGAUACAUUAAUCAUUGAACUUUAAGCUUUGUUUAGGUUUAAUUUAGAUAAACUUUUUGUCUAUCAAUUAGGUUAAUUUUAAUUUAAAUUGCAUCAGCUCUCUUACCUUUAUUUCUGUUAACAUCUUUUGCAUCUUUUGAUUUGUUUUGAUUGUGUUUGACCUGAUUUGAAAAUCAAUAGAAAUCUUAGGGACCUAAUUGAACUAAAAGAAUUUAGGUUAAAGAUGAAAUAUGCAGUAACUUAAAGGGUAAAAUUGGACUUUCACUUAGGCUAAAAUCAGAAGGUUCUAGUAUUUAGGACAACUGUCCCUAUCCUUAGCAAAAUGCUAAUAUUGGAUAAGAAAAAAGGACAUACAGCUGUCAAAAGAUGUUGUACUAUCCUAAAAAUUCAAAAUAUUAGGUUAGAAUAUGUCUUUUUGAUGCUCUUUUGGUACACUCUAUAAGAAGAAAAUAUUCCUUCACUCAUAUACAGACAUUCGCCAUUAUUUGCCUGCAUAAAGGCUUUGAAAAACACAUCAAAUUUUUAGAAACCUAAAGAGCACAAAAAUUUUUUAGCUAUUGUUUCAUUGAAAGCUGAUCGAUUUCCUUGCUGAUUUCGACAAAAGUUAGAACAAGUUUUGCUCUGAAAUUUCUGGAUUCUUAAGUUGCAAGAUGGCUUGAGUUUGAAUGCUGUGAUAUUGCUGGUUUUUGGCUGUUUAGUUUUAUUGAUUUUUGCUCUGUUUUUGCUGCUUUUUCUCCUUGAAGAUUCACAACCUUGUUCUUAUUCUUUGUAACUAGGUAUAUCUUGAGCUUUGAAACAUGAAUAAAAGUUUGUUUUGAAGAGUGUCUUGCUGCCAUGAAGCCUUGGAGUUCAUAUUUACACAUUUUGUUUCUUCUUGAUGUUUUACCUUUAAGUCAUUUGAAUACUGCUCUUUUGGCUUUUCUUAUUAGCUUAUGUGUAGUUACCUUAAAGUCUUGUAGUGAGGAUUCAUAAAAUAACUAGGAUAUUUAGUGUUGAUAGGGUGUGAACAACACCUCUUGCAUAUGCUGAGUUUAGGUUGAGUAGUCCAGUUCUAAAAGAAAAAAUGUUUACUUUCAGUAUUUUGCUACCUCCAUGUGAUUCUGUCCAAUAUUUUUACUGAUUGUUAAUAGGUGAGCUUUCCAUAAGUGUUGGGUAUGGUCAAAACUAGGCUAUGAUUGAUGUGUAAGUACUUUUGGAUGAAGUGUUCAGCAUUACUACAAAUGUGUAAAAUGAUUAUAUGCUUUUGCUGCUUCAUGUUGAAAAAAUGUUAUAGAUAGCGCAACUUAGAACUUAUAACAUACAAAUAAGGUGUUCAAAUUCUAUAGUAAAGUUCAUGUAAAUAACUAUCUUCUAUUUCGAGUAAAGUAUCUCUGUUCUUUGAUGGUUUAUUCUUGAGUUAUCUCUCUGUACGAAAAACUUUGUAAUACUAAACACCCUCGUGUAUGUGGAAGCCUUGGACAUAACAGGGCUAAAAGUCAAUAUUUCAUUUUUUAGGCUUGGUCUCAAGUUAGCCAUCUUAGAGGUUCGUCGUUAAAAAGGACUUUCUGGCCUAUAUGGUAGGCCAUUUGUGCUGUCAUUUUGGGCUUCAGUCUACGCCCACAUCAUGCUAAUCUAGGGCAAGCCCAGUUUUUUUUAAAAGAGGAAUUAUAUUGAAUUGGUCGAAAUGUUUUACAUCAUAUAAAGAUUUACAUGUCCACUCAAAAAAUGGUUUCUAUAUUUAUUAUCUUUAGAAGUCUACUUUCAAUGGGGAAAAAGUAGUAGAUCACCUAAAGCUUCGUUUCAUACCAAUGGACAGUGAUAUUAAUAUGGUCUUUUCUUUAAGUUCGUAACCUUUUUUCUUCCUUUAAUAGUACAAGUUUUCACACGUAAUCUCAAUUUUAGGCAUUCAAAUACUCCUUAAAUUCGUAGAAGCUUUAGGAGUGUGGUUUAAUUUAUUAUCGUGAUUGUGUACACGUUCACGUGACAUGAUUAUGAUCCUAAUAACAAAUUCGAGGUGUGCUAUACACAACAAAAAUCCAUAAGCUAUGGCUCUCACAUUAGUAUUACUUAGAUAUUUAACAAUCCUAAAUAAUCAUAGUUUGCUUUAGGCUCGAUUUAGACUAGUAUUGUGAUUAUGUAUACGUUUGCGUAACAUAAUUACAAAUUUAAUUCUAAAAAUAACUCGAGGUAUGCGUUCGCGCAACUUCAACCAAACUUUUCUUAAUAAAAUAAGCAAAGCGUUAUUAAUUGUGGACACGUUCGCGUGACANNNNNNNNNNNNNNNNNNNNNNNNNAAAUCAAGUGAUUAAAAGCAGUAAAAGGUAAAUACACAUAGGUUCUAAAAAAUAAGUAAUUAGACAACUUAAGCCAAGUAUAAAUUGCUAAGUGACCAUGCUAGAACCACGGAAUCCGAGAAUGCCUAACACCAUCUCCCAGGUUAACAAAAUUCCUUACUUAGAAUUUCUGGUUCGCAGACUUUUAAAUAAAGUCGAAAACUUCCUCGAUUUGGGAUUUAAAAUAAAUCGGUGACUUGGGAUACCAAAUAAUUUAUUCCAAGUGGAGACUCUGAUAAAUUAAUUAAUCUCAUGUCGAUUUAUGUCACUUUAAUUGGAAAAACUCCCAUAUACCCUCAAAGUAUAAAAAAAGAGGUGUGACAGCUCUGGCGACUCUGCUGGGGACAAGAACCCAGAACUUCUGUUUCAGGGUUCAAGAAUGCGAGCUUGUUAAAUGUGAUUUUAUUUGGCUUUAUUUUCGAUAUUACUGUAUUUGGUGGGUUUAAUGUGCUAAUUGCCAUUUAUUUACCGCUUUGAUAUUUCUUGAACUGUAUUUAAAUGUCUUCUUAAGCCUCCCUUCCGAGUCUUCUAAAAAGCGGUGCUCACGUUCGCGUGACCCACUUUUCUGUUAGAGUUAUACCAAAUAGAACAGGGUUGGUCAAGCAAUAAGGCUAGGCAGACUUUCGUGCUCCCGGUACGUUGCCCCCUCCUCGACUCGAGUUUGUCCGCUUGGGUAAGCCAGGUUUAGAACACAACCCAACGUUUAAACUUAGAAUAACAUAACCUCAUGCCAGAUCCCCAGUAGGAACGUUUAUUUGCAUCACGUGCAUUUGACCUUGGGGACUCAACAUAGGGGUUGGGUUCGUCUAGGACAAGUGUACCCAAAAUAAAAACCAUCCUGAUGCAUCCUACAUGCUAUGUGAAUAUUUAUUAGCUUGCAUGUUGUCUAGUUAGGAAAAGGAAACAAAGAGAAAAACCAAGAGUGAGAUAGGAUAGAGAAUUUACCCGGUUCUAAAAAUCCCAAUAUUUGAAAAUGUCUCGAAACUCUGCCAAAAUUUUUGAAAAAAAAAGUGAAAAAAGGAAAAUGUAUUUCAAAAAAAAGUGUUAGUCAAAUAUCAUAUUUUUUUAUGUCAAAAUUGAUCGAACUACGCAGGUCUGAUUCUCACCGGAUGUGGGAUACGUAGGCAACCCACAUAAGGUUCGGCCUCAUCUUUUUACAAAAAAAAUGAUCAAGUAAAGUGUAGUUUAGGGCUUUGGUCAAAAGAAUAAGUCGACCCAGCUUCGGUUGUAUUUUUAAGUCGUUCUUACCGGAAUAGCCUUAGAUUAUCUUUUAAUUGUCGAAAGGCUAUUUUCGGGAAGAACGAGCCAGUCUGUCUGUAAGGUGUCUUUUUCCAUAAAAUACUUUCCCCCGGCCUCAAAAUUUAUUUGGAAUUGUGAAGGGGCCACAUUUACAAAAACGACCAUUUUUACUAAAAGUAGAAUAAAAGGGGUCUUUGUCCGUUGAUUUUCUUUAGAAAUUGAAAACUUGUUUUGCAAAAAGAGUCCACAAGAGUCAAUCCUAACCUUAACCCUCCACAGGUACAAAUGAAUACUGUCCAGAACCCGUCACAAAUGAAUACUGUCCAGAACCCGUCACAAAUGAAUAUUAUUCAGAACCCAUCACAAUUGGUCAUAGAAUAGGCUCAGCUGCAGCUUCGCAUGUGGUGGAAUGAUUUAGAUAAAGAUGGCUAGGAUUGGGUGAAAAAGCAGUUGGGUUCCCUUAUAGACAUCAUGAGCAUCGAACCCCGGGAGGAUUUAAUCAAAGCCUUGGUAACCUUUUGGGAUCCUGUCCACAACGUGUUCCGUUUCUCCGAUUUCGAGCUCACCCCUACUCUAGAGGAAAUGGCCGGAUACAUUGACUUUGGCCAAGACUUGAGGAAACAACAACUCAUAUUCCCAAGGGCUCCCUCUGUGCACAAGUUCUUCGAUCUUCUGAAUAUUAGUAAAAAAAUGAAGAAGGCUCAUGUAAGCAAAGGAUGUUGUUCUUUCUACUUCUUAUAUGUCAGGUUUGGGCAUUUAACUGGGUUUGAAACACAUAAAAAAGGGUUAAACAACAAACAAGAUAAGAGCACCUGGAAAAUUCAUCGUUGGUUCGUGUUUAUUGUGGCGUUUUUGGGGAUCAUGGUCUUUCCAAAUGCAGAAGGGACAAUAGACACUUGCAUGGCCAGAAUUGAACAACUCCUCACUACCUAGGAAGAUCACACGCUUGUUUCGUUAGUACUGGCAGACAUUUAUCGAGCAUUAACAUUGUGUAAAUCCGGGGCUCAAUUCUUCGAGGGUUGCAACAUUGUUCUUCAAAUAUGGUUGAUCAAACAUCUCCGCCAUCACCCCAAGUUCAUGAGUUACGAUGUGGAUGGGAACAACUUCAUAAAGAGUUAUGAAGAGAGGGUGAAAGAUUACAAAACUCUAGAAGGUUUUGAGGCUUGGGUUUCCCACUUAAGGACUUUAAAGGCAAGUCAAAUUGAAUGGAUUCUAGGGUGGCUUCCAAUAAUAGAAGUCAUAUACAUAACAUCUUCAAAAGGCUACUUGAUGAUGAUGGGCCUGAGGAGUAUCCAACCAUAUGCACCACAAAGAGUUCUAAGGCAACUGGAAAGGUAUCAAGUGGUACCCGAAGAUGUAGAUUUGAGUACCCAAGUCAUUGAGCUACACCCAGAAGCAACACUGCCUGAGGCUUUAGUCCAACGGGAUUAGAAUGGAUGCUGAUAUCUAAAAAUGACAUCCAGGUACCGGAUCUUGCGAGAGGGGAAGUGGAUCCAAAUUAUGAUGCGUGGUUUGAGAGAAGGUUUUGUGCAAAUAAUGAGCCCGAGCCUGAAAGGCCCGCCAAGAGAUCUCAUGUUCAAGCUUUUGAUGAUAAAAUUCGGGAAAGGCUGGCCUGGGGAGAGAAGGAGAAAAAUAUCAAGCCACCAUUCACGCUUUGCAAGAAGAAUUGAGAAAUGAGGUAUUCAAUAAUGAUCUACAGGCACAAGAAGUUGAAAGUGAAAGAAGAAGGUAGGCCUAAGAAAAUGAAGCUCUCUAGGCCCAAGUUCGAAAAAUGAGAAUAGCAGCUGAGAACUCGGGCAGAAGCAGGAAAGAUGAAAGGCUCAUCUACAACCUUACGCAAAAAGUGCGUGACUGUGAGGAUGAUUUGCAAAAGACUGAGUCUGAGCUAGUAAAAGUACGAACGAAGUUGGCCAAAAAUGCAGAAGAAUUCGUUCGACAGUUGAAGGAAAGAUAUGACAGAAGGGGUCAUGGGCUGGAAAAAAGGAGCUUAAUAGCCUUGAGGGUGAAAUGACUAAACAAGCCAAGAGCUUCAAAGCCGAGAGAGAACAUUGCUAUGCUUUGAUGGCACAACUAGAGGGAGACCUAUAGCAUUUGCAAGAACAGAAUCAUACGCACACCCAGGUCUUAGAGGCUAGAUCUCAGCAGAUUGGGCGGUUGUUGCAAGAAAAGGGCAUCAUCAGGGAAAGGGUUAGAAGAAUCGCCGACUACAUUGUGAUGAAGUGCAACGAGUGCGAGGACAUGACCAGGUCCAUGUUCUUCGCCACAGUAAUGAUCUUUGUUCGCCAGAUAAUGGAUGAUCUCUAUCGCCUCCAAGAUGACAUGGUGCGUAGGUCGCAACAAGACCAGUUGGUGUUCCUAGGGCAGGAUUGGAGGCACUGAUGUACUCUUGAUAUUUUCUCUUUUUCGAGUCUGUAUUUUCAUUCCUAAAGUAUGUUUCGAGUCUGUUUUAGUUUUAAAUUCUCAAGUAUGUAGGAUCGAGUCUUUGUAAUAGAGAAAAAUUGGAAGUCUUGUUUUAAUGAAAAUUUGAAAAAACCAAAAAUAUUUUAUUUAUUUCAUUUAUUCAUUGAACUAUGUGAUGAUCCGAUUCGCGUGGAAUCGUGAUACGUAGGCAAUCCCAUUCGGAUCCAGUCAUGGUUUUUAAAUAACUCAAAUAAAAAUGAAAAUGUUGAAAAGAGAAAACCAAAAAGAAAAAGCAAAAAUAAAAUAGAGAAAACAAGGAAAAGAGAAUGAGAACAAGAGAGAAAAUAAGAGUGCAAAAGAGAGCAAGAGAGAAGAUCGGGGAGAUAAACAAAAACUGGGAUGAGACAUACAGUCGGUGCAAAACAUGUAGAAACAUAUUUAACUGUAUAAGUGCAUCACACCCCUAUGUGCGAUUGCCUAUGUGCUAAUUGCUUCAAACUAACCGGUUUGUUGUCUACUGUUGAGUAUAGGUUCUAUUUUUAAGGUGGUUGGUUUGUGGUAACCUGGCUUCACACCCUUACUUUACAAGAUCCAAGGUUAGUGUAGAAAUGUCAUCAGGAGGUCAUCCACCAACAAUUCCCAUCCCAGAGGAUAGCCCGCUAUCGAUUAUCCCAACCUCAAAGUCAGCGGCUGCUGAAGAGAAUAGGGCACUGCACCUCCGCGUGCUGGAAAUGUGGGACGCUUGGUCCAAUGGUAGAGAGCCGCCAAGUGCCAUACCUGGUUUCCCCGAGCUACUUCCUAGAGCAAGUGGAAAUUCCAACGUCCCAAUAAGUUACCCAAAUACCCUACUCGGAUACCCCACCAUCUCAGCUCACUUCGCUGGAACACCUUCUGAGGUUCGCCCCCAGGUGAUUUCGGGAGUGGCCUCUAACAUAUUUACCGCACCACCAACUUCGGCUACGUCACAACCAGCUUUUUCCAGGCCAAGCUUUGAUCCAUCAUCCUUCACUUUCCAAGUACCAUCUUUUCCACCAGACCCUACCCAUUUCACCACCAAUUCUUACCCUUAACAACCACGGUACAAGUUUAAUGCGGGACAAGAGAAGGCUACAAAGAACCCCGAGCAAGAGUAAAUCACUCGAAAAAUAAGGAGCAUGGAAUAGAGCCUCAAGAAUAUACAAGGCUUGAGCGACCAAAAGAGCAUAUCCUACGCUGAUCUAUGUAUGUUCCCGCAUGUGCAUUUGCCCCUCAGUUUCAAGACCCCCAAGUUUGAAAAGUAUGACGGGCACGGGGACCCCAUAGCCCACCUCAAGAGGUAUUGCAAUCAAUUAAGAGGGGCAUGCGGAAAAGAAGAGCUCCUAAUGGCUUAUUUCGGAGAGAGUCUAGUUGGCAUUGCAUCUGAGUGGUACAUGGAUCAAGACAUGUCUCGCUGGCAUAUAUGGGAUGAUCUAGCUCGAGAUUUCAUCAGACAAUUCUAGUACAACAUAGACAUAGCUCCAGAUAGAAAUUCCCUCUCUAAUCUCAAAAAGAAUUCUUUGGAAAGUUUCUGAGAAUAUGCUGUUAAGUGGCGCGAACAAGCGGUCAGGGUGAAGCCCCCGAUGGAUGAUACCGUGAUGUUCAGUGUUUUUCUACAAGCCCAAGAAGCGGACUACUUUCAGAAUAUGAUGUCUGCAAUGGGAAAGCCGUUUGCUGAGGUUAUCAAAAUUGGGGAGAUGGUCGAAAAUGGUCUGAAAACAGGUCGUAUAUUGAGCCAAUCUUCUAUAAGAGCUAUGUCCCAAGCAAUCCAAAGCGGGUGAGGAGGCGUAGCAAACAAAAAGAAGAAAGAAGAUGUGGCGAUGGCGGCUUCAAGUCUGAGAAACCCCCGUCCACCCAGAGGUUACUUCCUUCUAAGCACCCCACAACAUUAUUAUCCUCAUCAGGAUAUGGCCUAUGCUAUGGCUCCUCAGCCGUAUGCAGUAAUGAACGCCCAGCCAUAUGCUCGGCCACAACAAUAGUUUAACCAAAAUCGAGCUCCACUUCUUAGAAAUAACCUUCCUCACCAAGCUCUAUAUAAUCAUCGUCCCCCUCAAAAUAAUUUUCCAUAUAAUGCCCGUGCUCGGGAACCACCUAGAAAAACAAACUUCAUGUCUAUUGGUGAAUCAUACUCUAGCCUUUUCCCUAAACUGGUCUAGAUGAGUUUGUUGCAACCCGUACCCCAAACCAGGAAAAACCCAGAGUCGCUCUCCUACCGACACGGUACUCGAUGUGCUUACCAUUCAGCAGCGGAAGGGCAUGACACUGAAGACUGUUGGACUCUCAAAAGGGCGAUUGAAAACUUAAUAGAGCAAAAGAGGGUAGUGUUGAAAGAUGAAGAGAUCCCCAAUGUGACCAACAACCCAUUGCCAUCUCAUAAUAAUGGGCUAGUUAUUGGGAUGAUUUGUGAAGAUAAAAAGUUUGAUCCAGCUCUAAAAGCCAUCAUUACCAUCGCCGAUGUGGAAAGGAAGCCAAAGGCUACCGCAAAGCAAGAUAAGGGGGAGACGAAGAGUAAAUCUGCUCCUCAAAGUGAAGAAAAUACUGUGGAAACCAAAACAGAGGAAGUACCCCCUAAAGACGCCAUUCUUUAUGUUCCCCGAGCUCACAGGAAAGAACAAUUGGCGUUGAGUCCUCCUAAGAGGUUCGAGCUGAACAAGGGACCCAAGAUGUAUAUACCCAAAGGGACUUAUGUGGCGCGAGGACCAGUAAUUCCACCCAAGUUAAACAAGCCCAUGAUCAUUAGCUGCGCACCACAAAGGCCUAUGAAAGACCUCACUGCAGUCCCCUAGAACUACAAUAGAGCAAUUGUGACGUACAAGGGGAAAGAAAUCGUAGGGGAAGUAAAUGAAACCAACCCAACAAGGAAGUACCUCAAUCUGGAAGAAGUGAGCAAUGCCAAGCAGAAUUGCUUCCCUCUCAAAAAGCCAAUUAGUGCCGAAGAAGUAGAGGAAUUCUUUUGAAAAAUGAAAACUGCGAACUACGAGGUAAUUGACCAACUCCAAAAGUGUCCCGCUCAGGUCUCGCUCUUGUCUCUACUAAUAAGCUCGAAUGAGAAUUAGAAAGUGCUGAUAAAGACCCUCAAUGAAGCCUAUGUUCCAAUUGAAACCACUGUGGAGCAACUAGAAAGGAUGGCAGAAAGAUUCUUCGCAGUCAACCAGAUUUCAUUUAGCAAGAAUGACUUGCCCCCGUAAGGGGCUGUCCACAACAAAGCUCUUUAUCUGAUAGUUAAGUGUGAAGGGUACUAUGUAAAAAGAGUAAUGGUGGAUGGCAGAUCAGGGGUUGACAUAUGCCCUCUCUCAACUUUGCAAAGAAUAAAAAUUGGGACUGAGAGGAUCGGGCCUAAUAAUGUUUGUGUGUGUGCUUUCGAUGGCAUCAAGAGGGACACAAUAGGGGAAAUUAAUUUGAUCUUGACUAUCGGUCCUGUGGAUUUUGAAGUGACGUUUCAGGUCUUGGACAUGGAUACCUCCUAUAAUUUUCUUUUAGGAAGGCCUUGGAUCCAUGCUGCGGGGGCCGUACCUUCUACCCUCCAUCAAAUGGUGAAGUUUGAACAUGAAGAUCAGGAAAUUGUGGUUCAUGGAGAAGACAAGCAAUCAAUUUACUGGGACCCAUCAGUCCCAUGCCUCGAAGCUAGAGAAGGAGCGAGAAUAUAAUUUAUUGGGCUUUUGAGGUUGUGGUCGCAGAUCAAUGUGAGGAAGGAAGCCCAUGUCCUCAGCCCUUUCUAUCAAAUGCGUCGAUCAUGGUCGCUAUUGAAAUGAUCAAGCAUGGUUAUAAGCCUGGGAAGGGACUCGGGGUAUCAUUGCAAGGUAUCACAGAACAUAUCACUUUAGCCGCCAACGAGAAGUUCUUCGAUAUGGGUUUUCACACCACAGAAACUGAUGUGACAUGGGCAAAUAAACGAAAGAGCAAUGGUUAGGUGUUACCUUAGUCGGUCCUGCAUCUCUACAAAACAUUCGUCAACCCCAAGUACACCGAAGAAAAAGAAGAUGAGGCCUUAACGGCCGAGGAAAUUGAGGACAUAUGUUGAACCAUGAGGAAAAUGUUAUAUGAAGCCUAUAUGGUCCAGCCGGGUGAAGGCUCGAGCACUGCUGAGGUACAAUUUAUGGGGCCCAAUGCCAAGCUGCAAAAUUGGAAGGCUACUCCUUUCCCAGUUAGGCGGGAAUCCCGGUAGUCCUGUCUUGCCACUUUUUCUGCAUUCCGAGUUAUUCCAGGGUGUAACUCGAAUGUUUCUUUUAGUUUAUUGUCUUUAAAAUUCCAAAGUAAACCCUUCUAUCUUCAAAAUUUAAUGAAAUGAAAUCAAUAUUUCAUCGUCUAUGAAUUUCUUUCUUUAUUCUUUCUGAUUUUUUUACUUUUCUUAUUUCUUCCUUUCAGUUCUAAUAAUGCAGACUUAAAUAACAUGACAUGCUUGCGGACUUCAUGCCUAGAUCAUAGCACGCUGUCUAACUGUGAAAUAAUGAAUCAUGAAUCGGAAUCUGAUGAAGAAGAGGCUUUUAGGGAAAUAAACCGAGAAUUGGAACAAUUUGAGAAUAAACCUAAGCUGAACUUAAAUGAAACCGAGCCGGUUAAUUUGGGUAGUUCAGAAGAGGUCCAAGAAACCAUGAUAAGCAUUCACACGGAUGAAAGAACCAAGGAUGCAAUGAUCCAACUUUUGUUCAAAUUCAAAGAUGUGUUUGCUUGGUCCUAUGAUGAUAUGCCAGGACUAAGUGUUGAUUUAGUGGUACACAAAUUGCUGACUUACCCUGAUUAUCCCCCUGUCCAGCAAAAAUAGAGGAAGUUCAAAACUGAUAUCAGUGACAAGAUCAAAGAAGAGGUCACCAAACAGUUGAAGGCGGGGGUGAUCCAAGUGGUCCGAUACUCCACAUGGCUGGCUAAUGUGGUUUCCGUGCUAAAGAAAGAUGGGAAGACCUGAGUGUGUGUUGACUAUCGGGAUCUGAACAAAGCAAGUCCCAAAGACAACUUCCCUUUUUCAAACAUCCACAUCCUUAUUGACAAUUGUGCCAAACAUGAGAUACAGCCUUUCGUGGAUUGUUAUGCUGGGUACUAUUAGGUCUUGAUGGAUGAAGAAGAUGCAGAAAAGAUAGCCUUCACCACACCCUAGGGCACUUAUUGUUACAGGGCCAUGCCUUUUGAUUUGAAGAACGCCAGGGCAACUUAUAUGAGGUCUAUGACUGCCAUCUUUCAUGACAUGAUGCACCAAGAAAUUGAGGUAUAUGUGGAAGAUGUGAUCAUCAAAUCCAGAACGCAUGACGACCAUGUUCGGGAUCUGAGAAAGUUCUUUGAACGUCUGCGUAAGUAUGACUUGAAGUUAAAUCCAGCUAAAUGCGCAUUUGGAGUUCCGUCUGGGAAACUCUUGGGAUUUAUAGUCAGUCGGAGGGGCAUCGAGUUAGAUCCAACAAAGAUAAAGUCUAUUCAUGAUCUACCUCCUCCAAG